Molecule: ribosomal RNA, 393 nt
Filed under: uncultured bacterium
Lineage: Bacteria
Description: partial 16S ribosomal RNA
Rfam family: Bacterial small subunit ribosomal RNA
Source: RNAcentral
AUACGGAGGAUGCGAGCGUUAUCCGGAUUUAUUGGGUUUAAAGGGAGCGUAUGUGGGAUAUUAAGUCAGCUGUGAAAGUUUGGGGCUCAACCUUAAAAUUGCAGUUGAUACUGGUUUCCUUGAGUACGGUACAGGUGGGCGGAAUUCGUGGUGUAGCGGUGAAAUGCUUAGAUAUCACGAAGAACUCCGAUCGCGAAGGCAGCUCUCCGGGCCGGAACUGACACUGAUGCUCGAAAGUGCGGGUAUCAAACAGGAUUAGAUACCCUGGUAGUCCGCACAGUAAACGAUGAAUACUCGCUGUUUGCGAUACACGGUAAGCGGCCAAGCGAAAGCGUUAAGUAUUCCACCUGGGGAGUACGCCGGCAACGGUGAAACUCAAAUGAAUUGACGGGG